CGACUUAUAUUCUGUAGCAAGGUUAACCGUAUAGGGGAGCCGCAGGGAAACCGAGUCUUAACUGGGCGUUAAGUUGCAGGGUAUAGACCCGAAACCCGGUGAUCUAGCCAUGGGCAGGUUGAAGGUUGGGUAACACUAACUGGAGGACCGAACCGACUAAUGUUGAAAAAUUAGCGGAUGACUUGUGGCUGGGGGUGAAAGGCCAAUCAAACCGGGAGAUAGCUGGUUCUCCCCGAAAGCUAUU
This 244-nucleotide ribosomal RNA is filed under the name Klebsiella pneumoniae. Its description in RNAcentral is "partial 23S ribosomal RNA". It matches the Rfam family "Bacterial large subunit ribosomal RNA", at positions 624 to 870 of the family's 2925-position model. The record is from RNAcentral. Lineage: Bacteria; Pseudomonadati; Pseudomonadota; Gammaproteobacteria; Enterobacterales; Enterobacteriaceae.